RNAcentral lists this ribosomal RNA (512 nucleotides) under uncultured bacterium. Its description in RNAcentral is "bacterial SSU rRNA". It matches the Rfam family "Bacterial small subunit ribosomal RNA", at positions 17 to 518 of the family's 1533-position model. The record is from RNAcentral.
UCCUGGCUUAGGAUGAACGCUAGCUACAGGCUUAACACAUGCAAGUCGAGGGGUAACAUGAUGGAGCUGCUCCGAUGAUGACGACCGGCGCACGGGUGAGUAACGCGUAUCCAACCUGCCCCCAUGCUCAGGGAUAACCUUCCGAAAGGGAGCCUAAUACCUGAUGUUGUGCGACGAUGGCAUCAGAAUUGCACUAAAGAUUCAUCGGCAUGGGAUGGGGAUGCGUCUGAUUAGCUUGUUGGCGGGGUAACGGCCCACCAAGGCGACGAUCAGUAGGGGUUCUGAGGGGAAGGUCCCCCCACACUGGUACUGAGACACGGACCAGACUUCUACGGGAGGCAGCAGUGAGGAAUAUUGGUCAAUGGGCGGGAGCCUGAACCAGCCAAGUAGCCGUGCAGGACGACGGCCCUACGGGUUGUAAACUGCUUUUAUGAGGGGAUAAAGUGGGCUACGUGUAGCUUAUUGCAGGUACCUCAUGAAUAAGGACCGGCUAAUUCCGUGCCAGCCGCGGC